UAGGGAAUUUUUCGCAAUGGACGAAAGUCUGACGGAGCAAUGCCGCGUGAACGAUGAAGGUCUUCGGAUCGUAAAGUUCUGUUGUAAGGGAAGAACACCAAGGAUAGGAAAUGAUCUUUGGCUGACGGUACCUUGCCAGAAAGGGACGGCUAACUUCGUGCCAGCAGCCGCGGUAAUACGAAGGUCCCAAGCGUUAUCCGGAAUUAUUGGGCGUAAAGCGCAUGUAGGCGGUUUACUAAGUCUGGUGUGAAAGCUCACGGCCUAACCGUGAAAUUGCAUUGGAAACUGGUGAACUAGAAUACUGGAGGGGUAAGUGGAAUUCCAUGUGUAGCGGUGGAAUGCGUAGAUAUAUGGAGGAACACCAAUGGCGAAGGCAGCUUACUGGACAGAGAUUGACGCUGAGAUGCGAAAGCGUGGGGAGCAAACA
Molecule: ribosomal RNA, 427 nt
Filed under: uncultured bacterium
Lineage: Bacteria
Description: bacterial SSU rRNA
Rfam family: Bacterial small subunit ribosomal RNA
Source: RNAcentral